RNAcentral lists this ribosomal RNA (465 nucleotides) under uncultured bacterium. Its description in RNAcentral is "bacterial SSU rRNA". It matches the Rfam family "Bacterial small subunit ribosomal RNA", at positions 331 to 796 of the family's 1533-position model. The record is from RNAcentral.
CCAGACUCCUACGGGAGGCAGCAGUGAGGAAUAUUGGUCAAUGGCCGAGAGGCUGAACCAGCCAAGUCGCGUGAGGGAAGAAUGUCCUAUGGAUUGUAAACCUCUUUUGUCAGGGAGCAAAGUCACCCACGUGUGGGUGUUGGAGAGUACCUGAAGAAAAAGCAUCGGCUAACUCCGUGCCAGCAGCCGCGGUAAUACGGAGGAUGCGAGCGUUAUCCGGAUUUAUUGGGUUUAAAGGGUGCGCAGGCGGUCUGUUAAGUCAGCGGUCAAAGCCCGGGGCUCACCCCCGGUCCGCCGUUGAAACUGGCAGUCUCGAGUUGGAGAGAAGUAUGCGGAAUGCGCGGUGUAGCGGUGAAAUGCAUAGAUAUCGCGCAGAACUCCGAUUGCGAAGGCAGCAUGCCGGCUCCACACUGACGCUGAGGCACGAAAGCGUGGGUAUCGAACAGGAUUAGAUACCCGGGUACC